RNAcentral lists this unclassified non-coding RNA (391 nucleotides) under soil metagenome. RNAcentral describes it as "partial contains 5.8S ribosomal RNA, internal transcribed spacer 2, and large subunit ribosomal RNA". The stretch from base 1 to 122 matches the Rfam family "5.8S ribosomal RNA", at positions 35 to 154 of the family's 154-position model. The record is from RNAcentral.
GAUGAAGAACGCAGCGAAAUGCGAUACUUGGUGUGAAUUGCAGAAUCCCGUGAACCAUCGAGUCUUUGAACGCAAGUUGCGCCCGAAGCCACUAGGCCGAGGGCACGCCUGCCUGGGCGUCACACGCCGUUGCCCCCCCAUCUACUCCUUCGGGAUUGCGGGGGGGCGGAUGAUGGCCUCCCGUGCGCCUAGCCGCGCGGUUGGCAUAAAUACCAAGUCCUCGGCGACGCACGCCACGACAAUCGGUGGUUGCGAAACCUCGGUUGCCCGUCGUGUGCGUUCGUCGCGCAUCGAGGGCUCGAAAAAAUGCUCGGCUCCGGCUGGGCUUUCAACGUGACCCCAGGUCAGGCGGGGUUACCCGCUGAAUUUAAGCAUAUCAAUAAGCGGAGGA